UCCGAGUUGUCCCCGGCAGUCCUUUUAGAGUCCCCGGCAUUACCCGCUGGCAACUAAAAGCAGGGGUUGCGCUCGUUGCGGCACUUAAGCCAACACCUCACGACACGAGCUGACGACAGCCAUGCAGCACCGUCUCAUCGAUUCCCCGAAGGGCACCCCACCAUCUCUGGCAGGUUCCGAUGGAUUUAACCCAGGUAAGGUUCUGCGCGUUGCGUCGAAUUGAACCACAUGCUCCACCGCUUGUGCGGGCCCCCGUCAAUUCCUUUGAGUUUUAGCCUUGCGGCCGUACUCCCCAGGCGGAGUGCUUAACGCGUUAGCUACGACGCCGCAGGGGUCAACACCCACGACACCUAGUUCUCAUCGUUUACAGCGUGGACUAC
RNAcentral lists this unclassified non-coding RNA (380 nucleotides) under uncultured Myxococcales bacterium. Its description in RNAcentral is "contains 16S-23S intergenic spacer region". Lineage: Bacteria; Pseudomonadati; Myxococcota; Myxococcia; Myxococcales. The record is from RNAcentral.